CUGCUGCCUUCCGUAGGAGUUUGGGCCGUGUCUCAGUCCCAAUGUGGCCGUCCACCCUCUCAGGCCGGCUACUGAUCGUCGCCUUGGUGGGCCGUUACCCCGCCAACAAGCUAAUCAGACGCGGGUCCAUCUUACACCACCGGAGUUUUUCACACAAAUCCAUGCGGCUUCGUGCGCUUAUGCGGUAUUAGCACCUAUUUCUAAGUGUUAUCCCCCAGUGUAAGGCAGGUUACCCACGCGUUACUCACCCGUCCGCCACUAAGAUUUUA
RNAcentral lists this ribosomal RNA (269 nucleotides) under uncultured bacterium. RNAcentral describes it as "partial 16S ribosomal RNA". The record is from RNAcentral.